AGUGAACGCUGGCGGCGUGCUUAACACAUGCAAGUCGAACGAGAACGGGUUAUAGCUUGCUAUAAUUGUCAGCUAAGUGGCGCACGGGUGAGUAAUGUAUAGGUAAUAUGCCUCUUACUAAGGGAUAACAAUUGGAAACGAUUGCUAAUACCUUAUACUCCUUGUUAACAGAAGUUAAUAAGGGAAAGAUUUAUUGGUAAGAGAUUAGCCUGUAUUGUAUCAGUUAGUUGGUGGGGUAAUGGCUUACCAAGACUAUGACACAUAACUGGUUUGAGAGGAUGAUCAGUCACACUGGAACUGAGACACGGUCCAGACUCCUACGGGAGGCAGCAGUGGGGAAUAUUGCACAAUGGACGAAAGUCUGAUGCAGCAACGCCGCGUGGAGGAUGACACAUUUCGGUGCGUAAACUCCUUUUAUAUGAGAAGAUAAUGACGGUAUUAUAUGAAUAAGCACCGGCUAACUCCGUGCCAGCAGCCGCAGUAA
This 484-nucleotide ribosomal RNA is filed under the name uncultured bacterium. Its description in RNAcentral is "partial 16S ribosomal RNA". It matches the Rfam family "Bacterial small subunit ribosomal RNA", at positions 29 to 523 of the family's 1533-position model. The record is from RNAcentral.